RNAcentral lists this ribosomal RNA (496 nucleotides) under uncultured bacterium. RNAcentral's name for it is "partial 16S ribosomal RNA". It matches the Rfam family "Bacterial small subunit ribosomal RNA", at positions 28 to 506 of the family's 1533-position model. The record is from RNAcentral.
GAUGAACGCUGGCGGCGUGCCUAAUACAUGCAAGUCGAGCGAACAGAUGAGGAGCUUGCUCCUCUGACGUUAGCGGCGGACGGGUGAGUAACACGUGGAUAACCUACCUAUAAGACUGGGAUAACUUCGGGAAACCGGAGCUAAUACCGGAUAAUAUAUUGAACCGCAUGGUUCAAUAGUGAAAGACGGUUUUGCUGUCACUUAUAGAUGGAUCCGCGCCGCAUUAGCUAGUUGGUAAGGUAACGGCUUACCAAGGCAACGAUGCGUAGCCGACCUGAGAGGGGGAUCGGCCACACUGGAACUGAGACACGGUCCAGACUCCUACGGGAGGCAGCAGUAGGGAAUCUUCCGCAAUGGGCGAAAGCCUGACGGAGCAACGCCGCGUGAGUGAUGAAGGUCUUCGGAUCGUAAAACUCUGUUAUUAGGGAAGAACAAAUGUGUAAGUAACUAUGCACGUCUGGACGGUACCUAAUCAGAAAGCCACGGCUAACUACGG